CCUACGGGUGGCUGCAGUGAGGAAUAUUGGUCAAUGGACGCAAGUCUGAACCAGCCAUGCCGCGUGCAGGAUGACGGCUCUAUGAGUUGUAAACUGCUUUUGUACGAGGGUAAACCCCGAUACGUGUAUCGGGUUGAAAGUAUCGUACGAAUAAGGAUCGGCUAACUCCGUGCCAGCAGCCGCGGUAAUACGGAGGAUCCGAGCGUUAUCCGGAUUUAUUGGGUUUAAAGGGUGCGUAGGCGGUUUGAUAAGUUAGAGGUGAAAUGCCCCCGCUCAACGGGGUGAAGUGCCAUUGAUACUGCCUUGCUGGAAUGCGGAUGCCGUGGGAGGAAUGUGUGGUGUAGCGGUGAAAUGCAUAGAUAUCACACAGAACACCGAUUGCGAAGGCAUCUCACGAAUCCGCGAUUGACGCUGAUGCACGAAAGCGUGGGUAUCAAACAGGAUUAGAUACCCUUGUAGUC
This 461-nucleotide ribosomal RNA is filed under the name uncultured bacterium. Its description in RNAcentral is "partial 16S ribosomal RNA". It matches the Rfam family "Bacterial small subunit ribosomal RNA", at positions 338 to 795 of the family's 1533-position model. The record is from RNAcentral.